GACAGAGGGGGCAAGCGUUGCUCGGAAUUACUGGGCGUAAAGGGCGCGUAGGCGGGAUGGCAAGUCGGUCGUGAAAUCCCUCGGCUCAACCGAGGAACGUCGAUCGAUACUGCUGUUCUUGAGGAUUGCAGAGGAGACUGGAAUUCCCGGUGUAGCGGUGAAAUGUGUAGAGAUCGGGAGGAACACCGGUGGCGAAGGCGGGUCUCUGGGUUAACACUGACGCUCAGGCACGAAAGCGUGGGGAGCAAACAGG
Molecule: ribosomal RNA, 253 nt
Filed under: uncultured bacterium
Lineage: Bacteria
Description: partial 16S ribosomal RNA
Rfam family: Bacterial small subunit ribosomal RNA
Source: RNAcentral